Molecule: long non-coding RNA, 152 nt
Organism: Hibiscus syriacus
Lineage: Eukaryota; Viridiplantae; Streptophyta; Magnoliopsida; Malvales; Malvaceae
Exons: 3
Source: RefSeq, a predicted model, not a curated record
AAAGUAAACAACUACCCAGAAAACCAAAACAAGGUUAAAAAACUGUACCUUGAAGUAAUUAGCAAACUGUAAAGGUUAGUUUAACAUAGGUUGGUUAAGUUUCUGAAAACGAUAGUAGUAUUUAAGAAAGUGAGAGACAUAUAAGAGAGAAG